ACGGAAGGCAGCAGUGGGGGAUAUUGCUCAAUGGGGGAAACCCUGAUGCAGCGACGCCGCGUGAGUGAAGAAGUAUUUCGGUAUGUAAAGCUCUAUCAGCAGGAAAGAUAAUGACGGUACCUGACUAAGAAGCACCGGCUAAAUACGUGCCAGCAGCCGCGGUAAUACGUAUGGUGCAAGCGUUAUCCGGAUUUACUGGGUGUAAAGGGAGCGUAGACGGCAUGGCAAGCCAGAUGUGAAAGGCAGGGGCUCAACUCCUGGACUGCAUUUGGAACUGUCAAGCUAGAGUAUCGGAGAGGUAAGUGGAAUUCCUAGUGUAGCGGUGAAAUGCGUAGGUAUUAGGAGGAACACCAGUGGCGAAGGCGGCUUGCUGGACGAUAACUGACGUUGAGGCUCGAAAGCGUGGGGAGCAAACAGGAUUAGAUACCCUGGUA
RNAcentral lists this ribosomal RNA (434 nucleotides) under uncultured Lachnospiraceae bacterium. RNAcentral describes it as "partial 16S ribosomal RNA". It matches the Rfam family "Bacterial small subunit ribosomal RNA", at positions 341 to 792 of the family's 1533-position model. Lineage: Bacteria; Bacillati; Bacillota; Clostridia; Lachnospirales; Lachnospiraceae. The record is from RNAcentral.